GCAAUCGCCGCGGGAAUACGGAGGGGGCUAGCGUUGUUCGGAAUUACUGGGCGUAAAGCGCACGUAGGCGGCUUGGUAAGUUAGAGGUGAAAGCCCGGAGCUCAACUCCGGAAUUGCCUUUAAGACUGCCGAGCUAGUAGGUGAGAGAGGUAAGUGGAAUUCCGAGUGUAGAGGUGAAAUUCGUAGAUAUUCGGAAGAACACCAGUGGCGAAGGCGGCUUACUGGCUCAUUCUAGACGCUGAGGUGCGAAAGCGUGGGGAGCAAACAGGAUUAGAUACCCCGGUAGUCCCUGUCUCUUAUAC
This 302-nucleotide ribosomal RNA is filed under the name uncultured bacterium. Its description in RNAcentral is "partial 16S ribosomal RNA". It matches the Rfam family "Bacterial small subunit ribosomal RNA", at positions 511 to 807 of the family's 1533-position model. The record is from RNAcentral.